This 492-nucleotide ribosomal RNA is filed under the name uncultured bacterium. RNAcentral's name for it is "partial 16S ribosomal RNA". It matches the Rfam family "Bacterial small subunit ribosomal RNA", at positions 29 to 507 of the family's 1533-position model. The record is from RNAcentral.
AGUGAACGCUGGCGGUAGGUCUAACACAUGCAAGUCGAACGGCAGCACAGUAGGAGCUUGCUCUUACGGGUGGCGAGUGGCGGACGGGUGAGGAAUACAUCGGAAUCUACUUUUUCGUGGGGGAUAACGUAGGGAAACUUACGCUAAUACCGCAUACGACCUACGGGUGAAAGCAGGGGAUCUUCGGACCUUGCGCGAUUGAAUGAGCCGAUGUCGGAUUAGCUAGUUGGCGGGGUAAAGGCCCACCAAGGCGACGAUCCGUAGCUGGUCUGAGAGGAGGAUCAGCCACACUGGAACUGAGACACGGUCCAGACUCCUACGGGAGGCAGCAGUGGGGAAUAUUGGACAAUGGGCGCAAGCCUGAUCCAGCCAUACCGCGUGGGUGAAGAAGGCCUUCGGGUUGUAAAGCCCUUUUGUUGGGAAAGAAAAGCAGCAGGUUAAUACCCCGCUGUUCUGACGGUACCCAAAGAAUAAGCACCGGCUAACUUCGUG